GCUUCGGUAGUAUAACGGUUAGUACAUGGGUCUCAUAGUUCAGUCUAUGAGCCGGUCAAGCCGGCGAAAUCCCGAAAUGGUGGUUCGAUUCCGCCCCGAAGCA
Transfer RNA from Wallemia ichthyophaga EXF-994, 103 nucleotides. It matches the Rfam family "tRNA". Rfam says of the family: Transfer RNA (tRNA) molecules are approximately 80 nucleotides in length. The record is from Rfam. NCBI's taxonomy places the organism in Eukaryota, Fungi, Basidiomycota, Wallemiomycetes, Wallemiales, Wallemiaceae.